Molecule: ribosomal RNA, 1509 nt
Filed under: uncultured bacterium
Lineage: Bacteria
Description: partial 16S ribosomal RNA
Rfam family: Bacterial small subunit ribosomal RNA
Source: RNAcentral
AGAGUUUGAUCCUGGCUCAGAUUGAACGCUGGCGGCAGGCCUAACACAUGCAAGUCGAGCGGAUGAGAAGAGCUUGCUCUUCGAUUCAGCGGCGGACGGGUGAGUAAUGCCUAGGAAUCUGCCUGGUAGUGGGGGACAACGUUUCGAAAGGAACGCUAAUACCGCAUACGUCCUACGGGAGAAAGCAGGGGACCUUCGGGCCUUGCGCUAUCAGAUGAGCCUAGGUCGGAUUAGCUAGUUGGUGAGGUAAUGGCUCACCAAGGCUACGAUCCGUAACUGGUCUGAGAGGAUGAUCAGUCACACUGGAACUGAGACACGGCCCAGACUCCUACGGGAGGCAGCAGUGGGGAAUUUUGGACAAUGGGCGCAAGCCUGAUCCAGCAAUGCCGCGUGCAGGAUGAAGGCCUUCGGGUUGUAAACUGCUUUUGUACGGAACGAAACGGUGAGCUCUAAUACAGUUUGCUAAUGACGGUACCGUAAGAAUAAGCACCGGCUAACUACGUGCCAGCAGCCGCGGUAAUACGUAGGGUGCGAGCGUUAAUCGGAAUUACUGGGCGUAAAGCGCACGUAGGCGGCUUUUUAAGUCAGGGGUGAAAUCCCGGGGCUCAACCCCGGAACUGCCCUUGAAACUGGGAAGCUAGAAUCUUGGAGAGGCGAGUGGAAUUCCGAGUGUAGAGGUGAAAUUCGUAGAUAUUCGGAAGAACACCAGUGGCGAAGGCGACUCCGCUGGACCAAGUAUUGACCGCUUGAGGUGGCGAAAGCGUGGGGAGCCAAACAGGAUUAGAUACCCUGGUAGUCCACGCCCGUAAACGAUGAUAACUAGCUGUCCGGGUUCAUAGAACUUGGGUGGCGCAGCUAACGCAUUAAGUUAUCCGCCUGGGGAGUACGGUCGCAAGAUUAAAACUCAGAGGAAUUGGACGGGGACCCGCACAAGCGGUGGAUGAUGUGGUUUAAUUCGAUGCAACGCGAAAAACCUUACCCACCUUUGACAUGUACGGAAGUCGCUAGAGAUAGCUUCGUGCUCGAAAGAGAGCCGUAACACAGGUGCUGCAUGGCUGUCGUCAGCUCGUGUCGUGAGAUGUUGGGUUAAGUCCCGCAACGAGCGCAACCCUUGUCAUUAGUUGCUACAUUCAGUUGGGCACUCUAAUGAGACUGCCGGUGACAAACCGGAGGAAGGUGGGGAUGACGUCAAGUCCUCAUGGCCCUUAUAGGUGGGGCUACACACGUCAUACAAUGGCUGGUACAAAGGGUUGCCAACCCGCGAGGGGGAGCUAAUCCCAUAAAGCCAGUCGUAGUCCGGAUCGCAGUCUGCAACUCGACUGCGUGAAGUCGGAAUCGCUAGUAAUCGUGGAUCAGAAUGUCACGGUGAAUACGUUCCCGGGUCUUGUACACACCGCCCGUCACACCAUGGGAGCGGGUUCUGCCAGAAGUAGUUAGCCUAACCGCAAGGAGGGCGAUUACCACGGCAGGGUUCGUGACUGGGGUGAAGUCGUAACAAGGUAGCCGUAA